UAGGGAAUAUUGCGCAAUGGGGGAAACCCUGACGCAGCGACGCCGCGUGAGUGAUGAAGGCCUUCGGGUCGUAAAGCUCUGUUGCAGGGGAAUAAGAAAGUGAAUGUACCCUGUGAGGAAGGUCCGGCUAACUACGUGCCAGCAGCCGCGGUAAUACGUAGGGACCAAGCGUUGUUCGGAUUUACUGGGCGUAAAGGGCGCGUAGGCGGUGCGGUAAGUCACUUGUGAAAUCUCCGAGCUUAACUCGGAACGGCCAAGUGAUACUGCAGUACUAGAGUGCGGAAGGGGCAAUCGGAAUUCUUGGUGUAGCGGUGAAAUGCGUAGAUAUCAAGAGGAACACCUGAGGUGAAGACGGGUUGCUGGGCUGACACUGACGCUGAGGCGCGAAAGCCAGGGGAGCAAACGGGAUUAGAUACCCGCGUAGUCCCUGAGCGGGCUGGCAAGGCGCAU
RNAcentral lists this ribosomal RNA (450 nucleotides) under uncultured bacterium. RNAcentral's name for it is "bacterial SSU rRNA". It matches the Rfam family "Bacterial small subunit ribosomal RNA", at positions 355 to 825 of the family's 1533-position model. The record is from RNAcentral.